AUGAGGCGACGACAUGAGCUGCUGGUCUCGCCGUCUUGUUGCUUGAUCGGCCUUGUGCUGCUGCUGCUCGCGCUGUCUGCUCGAGCUCAGCGGCAAGCACAGACAGGUCCGUCUGAAGUGGCCGCGCUGAACACCAUCUUCUCACGGUGGGGCCUGCGGGCGUCCACGGCGUGGAACAUCAGCGGCGAGCCUUGCAGCGGUGCCGCCAUCAACGAAACCGCCAUGGAUUCAGACAACGAAUUCAAUCCGGCCAUUAACUGCGUCUGCUCCUACAACAUCAGCACCGUCUGCCACAUCACCAGGCUGAGAGUAUAUGCACUAGAUGUGGUUGGUCAGAUUCCCGCGGAACUGCUAAAUUUAACUUACCUGACAGUACUGGAUUUAUCCCAGAAUUACUUGACAGGAUCUUUGCCAGCAUUUCUUGGAAAGCUGACUCGGUUGCAGUAUCUAAGUUUGAGUAUCAAUGCAUUAACUGGAGUUUUACCGAGCGAGCUGGGUAACCUCAAGAAUCUCAUUUCUCUGGGCGUUAGCACAAAUAAGUUUGUCGGUCCACUCCCCGAAGUAGUAGAAAACUUGACCAAACUUGAGCAACUGUAUAUCGAUAGUUGUGGUUUAAGUGGAGAGCUACCAUCUUCCUUUUCCAAACUUAAGAACCUGAAAUCCCUAUGGGCAUCAGAUAAUGGGUUUACUGGGAAGAUACCUGAUUACAUUGGAAGCUUAUCAAAUUUGCAGGAUCUGAGACUCCAUGGAAAUAACUUUGACGGUCCCAUUCCUGCAAGUUUUUCUAAUCUUAUCAACUUGACAAAUUUGAGAAUUGGUGAUUUAACGGGAGAGCUGUCUUCAUUGGCUUUUGUGGUUAACAUGACGUCGUUGUAUACUCUAGAUCUGAGAAACUCCAGGAUAUCUGACAACCUUGCUUCAGUGGACUUCUCAAAAUUUGUUAACCUCAAUUAUCUGGACUUGAGUUUUAACAGCAUCACAGGCAAAGUUACUCCAAACCUUCUGAACCUGAAUCCCCUCGAAUUCCUAUUUCUUGGGAGUAAUAACCUCUCUGGGAUCCUACCAGAUAUGAUUAGCCCUUCACUUACUACUAUUGAUCUGUCAUACAAUAUGCUCUCAGGAAGAUACCCUUCUUGGGUUAACAUGAAUAACUUACAUGUGAAUUUGGUGUGGAACAACUUUGGGAUAGAUAACUCGAACAACAGUAUUUUGCCUUCAGGACUAAAUUGUCUUCAGCGAGAUACUCCAUGUUUUGAUUCUCCAUCUUAUUCCUCCUUUGCGGUAGACUCUGGUGGUUCGAGACCCAUCAGAGGCUCAGACAACUCCAUUUACGAACCUGAUGAUGCCAGUCUUCCAGUUGCAUCAUACUAUGUUACGAACUCAACAAGAUGGGGCGUUAGCAACAUCGGGAGAUUCAUGGACUCGUCUAAUGGGAGUUAUAUAAUAUACACUUCUCGCCGGUUUACCAACACACUUGAUUCUGAACUAUUUCAGACAGCCAGAAUGUCACCCUCUUCAUUGAGAUACUACGGCAUUGGGCUCAAGAAUGGCAUGUACAGCGUUGUACUUCAAUUUGCAGAGAUUUUUUUCCCAGAUGACCAGACAUGGAAAAGCAUGGGAAAGAGGAUUUUCAAUAUAUAUAUCCAGGGAGAUCUUAAAGAAACAGAUUUCGAUAUAAAGAAACAAACAAAUGGAAAAUCUUAUACUGCUGUUCAAAGACAGUACACUGUUGAAGUAACGAAUAAUUUCAUUGAUAUUCAUCUCUUUUGGGCUGGAAAGGGCACUUGUUGCAUUCCUGACCAAGGGUUCUAUGGGCCAUCGAUAUCAGCAUUAAGCGUAUCUUCUUAUGAUGGCAACGGUGAAGGGGAUCCUGGUUCACAGAGAAACAGCACUACCAGUAGAACAGGUUUGGUUGUUGGAGUUGUAGUCUGUGUUGCAAUUUUAGGAUUUCUAGCACUCGCUGGGGCCUUUGUUUGGAGGCAGAAAAGAAGAAGGCUAGAGGUGGAAAUGGAAGAGCUGUUCAGUAUAGUUGGAAGGCCUAACGUCUUCAGUUACGGUGAAAUAAAGUCUGCUGCUGACAGUUUUAGUGAUAGCAACAUUCUCGGAAGAGGGGGAUAUGGACCUGUUUACAAGGCAAGACAGACUUGA
This 2148-nucleotide ribosomal RNA is filed under the name Triticum aestivum (bread wheat). Its description in RNAcentral is "partial small subunit ribosomal RNA". Lineage: Eukaryota; Viridiplantae; Streptophyta; Magnoliopsida; Poales; Poaceae. The record is from RNAcentral.